AACAGCUACAAUUUUUAUUGAAGAAACCGACUGAUCGGUAUUACUCUCUUCCUACCCAAAUCUUUCAAUCAAUCGUGUUUAUCAUUGAACCCACCUCCUAGCUAAGCAGAGAUUUCCGGAAACAAUAUAGAUUAGGAAAGAAGAGAUUUGUAUGUGAACAACAAACAUUUAAUUUGUAAGAUGAAUGAAAAUUAGAACCAAGUAUAAUGGAAACUUGCGACGAAGAAGAUAUUUACAGAUAAGACUCUGUUACUAUAUUCACUAAACAUUUUUGCCUAACCUCUUCAUAUAUUUAAUUACAAAUUUUUCUAAUGUGUAUAGGUAAAUCUAUACAAUGAAUCACAAACAAAGCCUCUCUCACGUUGGUGAUUGAUUUGUGGAAAAAGUUAGUGCCGGUGCGUUCUCUAAGUUGAUGAAGUAUGGGGGUUCAUGAAAGACGUGCAAAGGUCUUGCACUUUGUUAAUCGCAGGAUUUGCUGUAAGAUAGACAGCGGAUAGAUUAUCACAAUACAAUUCUGGUGGUUGAUACUGAGGAAUCCCAAGUUCUUUAAGGAUGUUGCAGAUCCACGAGAUCUCGGCUGCUUCAUCUAACAUCGCUCUAUACUCGGCUUUAGUAGAGCUUCGAGCAACCGAAUCCUGUUUCUGAGAUGCCCAAGAGAUCAAAUUAGUACCGAGGAUCCGUUUGAGAAGGUGGAAGUCAGCAAAAGUUAGGGCAUGCAUCUUCUGACAAACAAAUUUCACCGCAAACUGGAUGUCUGGUCUUCUAAGAGUCAAGCAAAGGUGUUGCAACGGAAGAGCACUCGCUCAUGGCUGCAACAACUAACAAGUCUCCUGCGUACUUCUGCUGAGAAAGGAAGAGACCUGAAGGAUGGAAGUGAGCCUGAAUUCCAAGAAAAUAAUGCAUUUGGCUCAGAUCUUUCAUGCGGAACUGGGUGUUGAGAGAGUCUAGAAAGGCUGUCAUAGCUGCGGAGCUGUUUCCUGUGAUAAGCAUGUCGUCCACGUAGAGUAGAAGCACAAUGACUGCUCCAUCUCGCUUGUAGACGAAGAGUGAUGGAUCCGGUAUGCUACAGGAUCUACAAAUUCAGCUGGUUGUUUCAUGUACACUAUCUCUGUGAGAUCACCAUGAAGGAAGGCGUGUUCGACAUCCAUUUGUUUUAUAUCCCAACCCAUUUUGGUGGCCAUAUCCAAGACUGCUCUGACAGUUGUUGUGCGUACUACAGGACUAUAUGUCUCCAGGAGGUGUCAAGUCCCAAGUGUGUGCUGCUUUACAGUUUCCCAUUUCAGUGCCCAUCGCUCCAUUCCAACCUGGAUGUUUAAGAGCUUCAGCUACUGUUUUUGGUUCUGGAUGGGAUACUUUAUGAGACAAUAAAGCAUAUCUUGGAUUCGGCUUUUGUAUCCCGUCUUUUAAUCUUGUUGUCAUUCCGUGAGUAGGUUGGACUUGACUGACAGAUUCUGCUUUUGAUGAUGUUGCAGGAACCUGUGGAGACUGAACAGAGGGCAUAGAAGAGGCCGAGGAUUCACCAGAUUCUUGAGUUUGUGUGCUUGACCUUGAAGAAAAUUCUGAGGCAAAAGUAUCUGAGACGCAGUCUCAGGUGUUGGAGAUGAAGUUGAAGUAUGAAUUGGAGUCACUGGAGGAGUAUGAGCCACUGAUGAGCUGGAGCUGG
This is a non-coding RNA of Camelina sativa (false flax), 1663 nucleotides long. Lineage: Eukaryota; Viridiplantae; Streptophyta; Magnoliopsida; Brassicales; Brassicaceae. The record is from RefSeq and is a predicted model, not a curated record.